GCACUCGCGCGUGCGUGAGCUGGCGCGCGAGAAAGGGCCCGGUCGCGUCCAGGCUCGAGCGGCCGUCGCCAUUUUGUAAGGUUCUCUCUGACGUGGGAGCCGCCGUCGCUGCCGCCACCCGGAGGCUCUUGUCAGGAUGGUGAAGCUGUUCAUCGGAAACCUUCCCCGGGAGGCUACAGAGCAGGAGAUUCGCUCACUCUUCGAGCAGUAUGGGAAGGUGCUGGAAUGUGACAUCAUUAAGAAUUACGGCUUUGUGCACAUAGAAGACAAGACGGCAGCUGAGGAUGCCAUACGCAACCUGCACCAUUACAAGCUUCAUGGGGUGAACAUCAACGUGGAAGCCAGCAAGAAUAAGAGCAAAGCUUCAACCAAGUUACACGUGGGUAACAUCAGCCCCACUUGUACCAACCAAGAGCUUCGAGCCAAGUUUGAGGAGUAUGGUCCGGUCAUCGAAUGUGACAUCGUGAAAGAUUAUGCCUUCGUACACAUGGAGCGGGCAGAGGAUGCAGUGGAGGCCAUCAGGGGCCUUGACAACACAGAGUUUCAAGGCAAAAGAAUGCAUGUGCAGUUGUCCACAAGCCGGCUUCGGACUGCCCCUGGUAUGGGAGACCAGAGUGGCUGCUAUCGGUGUGGGAAAGAAGGGCACUGGUCCAAAGAGUGCCCAGUAGAUCGUACGGGUCGUGUGGCAGACUUUACUGAGCAGUAUAAUGAACAAUAUGGAGCAGUUCGAACACCUUACACCAUGGGCUACGGGGAAUCCAUGUAUUACAACGAUGCAUAUGGAGCACUCGACUACUAUAAGCGAUACCGGGUCCGCUCUUAUGAGGCAGUAGCAGCGGCGGCAGCGGCUUCUGCAUACAACUACGCAGAGCAGACCAUGUCCCAUCUGCCUCAAGUCCAAAGCACAACUGUGACCAGCCACCUCAACUCUACUUCUGUUGAUCCCUAUGACAGACACCUAUUGCCAAACUCUGGCGCUGCUGCCACUUCAGCUGCUAUGGCUGCUGCUGCAGCCACCACUUCCUCCUACUAUGGAAGGGACAGGAGCCCACUGCGUCGUGCUGCAGCCAUGCUCCCCACAGUUGGAGAGGGCUACGGUUAUGGGCCAGAGAGUGAAUUAUCUCAGGCUUCCGCAGCUACACGGAAUUCUCUGUAUGACAUGGCCCGGUAUGAACGGGAGCAGUAUGUGGACCGAGCCCGGUACUCAGCCUUUUAAAAACUGGAGGUGAGAGAUGGGUGGGAAUGGUUAAAAGAUUCCAUUUAGUUCCCUUGAAAGAGACCCAUGCUUCAUAAAAGUGGCUAGAGCCACCUGUGCUCUCCGGACAGUAUCCAAAAGGUGCAAAUUACAUGUUAGUCUUCAAUAUUUCUCUAGCUUAGGCCACAAGUUCCAUUUGGCCUGUCAAGGUGUUAGUGUAUGACUCCAACCAACUUGUUCCUUCUGAGAGAACAACAAAUUCAGUUUGUUAGUGAGAACAUUCUUUAAUCAGUUGUAAGCAUAUUUGGGUUACAGAAAAACAUUUGAGAGAUCUAACAUUUGUUAUGUGCCCUCUGUAUAUCAUCUACACGAUAAGACUGAAAUAUUUUAUUCUUUUACAGAGAAGGGAACUAAAGCUCAGAGAGGUUAAGUACUUUGCCCAAAGUCAUUUGAUAAAUGAAAGGUAGAACCAGAAUUCAAAUUUGGACCUGUCUGAUACCAAAACCCAUACUCGCUCUACUACAGAAGUACUGUAGUGGUAAGCUGAAGGGUACAGGUUCAGGGGUUAGUAAUGAAUAUCACAGUGAGAAUUUUAACUAUUACUUUAGGCUUAUAGUUUGCUAAUAAAAUUGCUACCUGAAGGCAGAGGCAGUGGCUCACUCCUGUAAUCCUAACACUGGGAGGCUGAGGCGGGAGGAUCACUUGAGCCCAGGAGUUCAAGACCAGCCUAGGCAACAUAGCAAGACCCUGUCUCUACAAAGAAAAUUAAAUUAGCAGGGUGUGAUGGGGAGCACCUGUGAUCCCAGCUACUCAGAAUGCUGAGGUUGGAAGGAUUGCUUGAGCCCAGGAGUUAAAAGAGGCUGCAGUGAGCUAUGAUCACACCACUGUAUUCCAGCCUGGGCAACAGAGUGAGACUGUCUCUCCUUUAUUUAAAAAAAAAAAAAAACCUACUUCUUGGGUCAUUGUCCUUUGUCAAAGGAAACUCUUCUAAUAUCAUACCUACAUGCCAGAGGAAGUCCUAUAAAUUUUAAAUGUUUACUUCCAAGACAUUUACUUGAAAGUUGAAUGUUUUGAUGUUCUGUCCCAUGGGGUCCUUAUUGUAAUCUAGACCAUCUUGUUCUAGAUGGGCACUUAAGCCCUGUUUCUUCAUAGUCUGUUAUGCUGUCAUUUGGACCUGGAUGCUUCCUGUUUCUUCCAGCAAUUUUUGUUUGUGUUUUUUGUUGUUGAAGAGAGGAACAUUUAAGGAGUUAGAUAAACUGGUAAUUUUCAGAUGUGUAGAAAAUUGCAUAGGUGGUGAAAGCCAAUGCCAUAGGCUCUGAAAUUUUACUAUUUCCUACAUCAGGAAAUGUGUACCAAAAGUGCUAAAAUGCCAAGAAUAAUUUUGAGUAUCUAAAGAUAGAUAAAUCUUUUCAUCUGAGUGGAAAUGGCAUUAUGACUUUAUAUUCUCAUGGUUUUCCUUGUACCUUGAAAUUGAGCAUCACUUGAAUUGGAGCCCCAGAAGCAAGGUUAAAGUGAGUUACUACUGAGUUUCUGGUGUUCCUAACUUAUCCCUUUGGUAUAUAUGUAGAAGAUAACAAAGCAGCUGUGUACAGUGGCUUGUGCCUGUAGUCCCAACUAUUCAGGAAGCUGAGGCUGGAGGAUCCCUUGAGCCCAGGAGUGAGAGACUGCAGUUAGCCACUGCACUCCAGCCUGGGCAAGAGUGGCUCCUCUCUCUCUUAAAAAAAAAAAAAAAAAUUAAAAAGCAAAGCCACAGCAAUUUGCUCUUUUAUGUGAAUUGAGAAGCAAAUGUUAUGAACCUGUAAUAAGUUGUACCCUAUAUGCAUGUCAGCAAGACUUGAGAUCUCUUGAGACCACCAUGCAGCUAGUCUGUGUUUAUGUGUGAAGCAAAUGAUCUUAAAAUUUAUAGUUUGCCAUUAAUUUUUACUUUUAAUGCAGCUGGAUCUAGCAUGGGGUGGGACAUGCUUCCGAAGUAAGCUGGUAUAAAUCUAUCAGAUAACCUGUCUCUUAUGUUUCAAAGUUAAAUAUUAAAUUCAUAUAUUGUGGUCUUCAAAAGGUAUUGCUAGGACAUUUUAAAAUGAAUUUUGACUGCAAGCAGUGGUUGUUCAACUAACCUCUUUUUAGCGAUGACUUUUAAAGAAACUUACCUUCCAGGUGUGAACCUCAAAUGGACUGAAUAACCCUGAGUUGGUUGCAGUCCCAGGAGCCUGAUGUUAAUGAGGCUGCCAGGAUGAAAUACUCCAGAACUGUUGGGGAUCCAAAUUCGGGUCUCACCCUAGCAGAACUGAUCCAAGAACGUCACAACUUUUGAAGUCGAUUGGCACAGAUCAAGACCAAGAUUUGGCCCUUUGUCUGUAAUAAGUAGAGGAACUUGGUGACAGGACCCAGGGCGCUUGUACGCGGAGCCAGGCUGCUCUCCAGGCAUUGUGUAAGCCUCUUGUGUUGUGCUCUCUUUCAGGUAGGAUAAUUGCGGACUGAACCCUCGGGCUGCGGUCAUAUAUGAGAACUUGCUCCGCGCGGUCCCCUUUGCCGGGAUGUUUCCAUUGCUUCAUGUUUCAGUAAACAAAAGGAGUUUGUGACCAACUAUGUUUUCUUUCUUAAUUCUUCUAAGUUGACUUUUCUUUCCUCCUGAAACUAGUCUCUGUAGCCUUUCACUCUGUUCCUUAUAUUCUCAGCCUCUGAGCAGCCCUAGGUAAGGAUUAUGCUGGCAUCCCCUUUUUCCUGUGCAGUGGAACCCCUCUUAUCUUGCUUUCCCUAGGAGUUGAAUCCUUCUCCCUGCCUACCUGCAGCAUCUCCUUUCCCUUUAAAAUGACCAUGUAGUGGCAAGCAGCCUUUUACUCUUCUGUUAGCUCUGGACUCUUAACACUUAAGUUACUCUUCUGAAAUUGCUAGGACCAUUGGGGGUUUUGUUGUUUUGUUUGUUUUUUAUGUCCGACCUGUGAUCGUGGUACAGCAUUAGCUGAAAUUUACCCUUGUUUUACUCCACUCCUCCCUUUUUUAAAAAAAUUUUUUGACAAAUAAAUGUUUCUAACACUUAAA
Molecule: RNA transcript, 4231 nt
Organism: Homo sapiens (human)
Lineage: Eukaryota; Metazoa; Chordata; Mammalia; Primates; Hominidae
Gene: RBM4B
Gene name: RNA binding motif protein 4B
Exons: 4
Source: RefSeq, marked validated